This is a long non-coding RNA of Thalassophryne amazonica, 111 nucleotides long. RefSeq lists it as uncharacterized. NCBI's taxonomy places the organism in Eukaryota, Metazoa, Chordata, Actinopteri, Batrachoidiformes, Batrachoididae. The transcript is spliced from 3 exons. The record is from RefSeq and is a predicted model, not a curated record.
UAUUUUGACCACUACUAUACCUCUUGUCAUUGUGGCCAAAUAGCUUAAUAUUUGUCUCAUCUGGCCAUAAAACUUUUCUCGAGAAGGCAUUUGUCUUGUCCAUGUGGACAG